UACGUAGGGGGCAAGCGUUGUUCGGAAUUACUGGGCGUAAAGGGCGCGUAGGCGGCAGGAGAAGUCGGGAGUGAAAGCCCGGGGCUCAACCCCGGAACGUCUCUCGAAACUGACCAGCUAGAGUGCGGAAGAGGCAACUGGAAUUCCCAGUGUAGCGGUGAAAUGCGUAGAUAUUGGGAAGAACACCUGAGGCGAAGGCGGGUUGCUGGGCCGACACUGACGCUGAGGCGCGAAAGCCAGGGGAGCGAACGGG
Molecule: ribosomal RNA, 253 nt
Filed under: uncultured bacterium
Lineage: Bacteria
Description: partial 16S ribosomal RNA
Rfam family: Bacterial small subunit ribosomal RNA
Source: RNAcentral